This 497-nucleotide ribosomal RNA is filed under the name uncultured bacterium. RNAcentral describes it as "partial 16S ribosomal RNA". It matches the Rfam family "Bacterial small subunit ribosomal RNA", at positions 899 to 1397 of the family's 1533-position model. The record is from RNAcentral.
ACUCAAAUGAAUAGACGGGGGCCCGCACAAGCGGUGGAGCAUGUGGUUUAAUUCGACGCAACGCGAAGAACCUUACCCAGGCUCGAACGGCAUUGGACAUCUCCCGAAAGGGAGCUUCCGCAAGGACCGGUGUCGAGGUGCUGCAUGGCUGUCGUCAGCUCGUGUCGUGAGAUGUUGGGUUAAGUCCCGCAACGAGCGCAACCCUUGUCUUCUGUUGCCAUCAGGUUAUGCUGGGCACUCUGAAGAGACUGCCGGUGACAAACCGGAGGAAGGUGGGGAUGACGUCAAGUCAGCAUGGCCUUUAUGUCUGGGGCCACACACGUGCUACAAUGGCAGAUACAAACCGUUGCGAGACCGCAAGGUGGAGCUAAUCGGAGAAAGUCUGUCUCAGUUCGGAUUGUAGGCUGCAACUCGCCUGCAUGAAGUUGGAAUCGCUAGUAAUCGCGGAUCAGCACGCCGCGGUGAAUACGUUCCCGGGCCUUGCACACACCGCCCGU